RNAcentral lists this transfer RNA (67 nucleotides) under Encyrtus infelix. RNAcentral describes it as "tRNA-Phe". The record is from RNAcentral. Lineage: Eukaryota; Metazoa; Arthropoda; Insecta; Hymenoptera; Encyrtidae.
AUUUAAAUAGUUUAAAUUGUAGAAAAUUUAAUAUUGAAGAUAUUAAGAUAGGGGUUGCUUUUAAAUA